UACGAAGGGGGCUAGCGUUGUUCGGAUUUACUGGGCGUAAAGCGCACGUAGGCGGAUCGUUAAGUCGGGGGUGAAAUCCUGGAGCUCAACUCCAGAACUGCCUUCGAUACUGGCGAUCUUGAGUCCGGAAGAGGUGAGUGGAACUCCUAGUGUAGAGGUGGAAUUCGUAGAUAUUAGGAAGAACACCAGUGGCGAAGGCGGCUCACUGGUCCGGUACUGACGCUGAGGUGCGGAAAGCGUGGGGAGCAA
This 249-nucleotide ribosomal RNA is filed under the name uncultured bacterium. RNAcentral describes it as "partial 16S ribosomal RNA". It matches the Rfam family "Bacterial small subunit ribosomal RNA", at positions 524 to 771 of the family's 1533-position model. The record is from RNAcentral.